RNAcentral lists this unclassified non-coding RNA (225 nucleotides) under uncultured Alphaproteobacteria bacterium. RNAcentral describes it as "contains 16S-23S intergenic spacer region". It matches the Rfam family "Bacterial small subunit ribosomal RNA", at positions 974 to 1199 of the family's 1533-position model. Lineage: Bacteria; Pseudomonadati; Pseudomonadota; Alphaproteobacteria. The record is from RNAcentral.
UCCAGGGUUUGACAUCCUGCGACCGCCUCGUAACGGAGGUUUUCCCGCAAGGGACGCAGAGACAGGUGCUGCAUGGCUGUCGUCAGCUCGUGUCGUGAGAUGUUGGGUUAAGUCCCGCAACGAGCGCAACCCUCGCCUUUAGUUGCCAUCAUUCAGUUGGGCACUCUAGAGGGACCGCCGGCGACAAGCCGGAGGAAGGUGGGGAUGACGUCACUUACAGCGUAC